This 213-nucleotide long non-coding RNA is filed under the name Hordeum vulgare. Its description in RNAcentral is "long non-coding RNA (HVUL_LNC008346)". Lineage: Eukaryota; Viridiplantae; Streptophyta; Magnoliopsida; Poales; Poaceae. The record is from RNAcentral.
AUGGACAGAGGUGCGUGGAAGGCAGCUAUCCAUGUGCCAGAACCUUGACUUGGUUUUUGAUAUCUUAUCGGUUUCAACUCUAGCCUACCCCAAUUUGUUUGGGACUGAAGGGCUUUGUUGGUGUUGUUGCUGUGUUAUUGUAGCCACUUUGGGUAUGGUUAAUCAGUUUGGAAGGAAGUAUUCCCUCCGAUCCAUAUUAAUUGUCGCUGAUUU